AUUUUUUUAAAAAGAAAUAUCUUGAGUUAUUUUUUCUUGACAAUAUUUCUAUUGAUUGUUGUUAGAACAGGCAUGUAAGAAAAAUAUGCUCUGUUCCAUUUGUCUCACAAAAGGCAAAAAUAUGCUGUUUUUGUGGUUCCUUGUGUUUCAGGAAGCAAGAGGCUACUAUGAGCAGACUGGAGUUGGACCUCUGCCCGUUGUGCUGUUCAAUGGAAUGCCCUUUGAAAGGGAACAGCUAGACCCUGAUGAGUUAGAAACCAUCACAAUGCAUAAAAUUCUGGAGACCACCACCUUUUUCCAAAGAGCGGUGUACUUGGGUGAACUGCCCCAUGAUCGAGAUGUGGUAGAGUAUAUCAUGAAUCAGCCAAAUGUUGUUCCACGAAUCAAUUCUAGGAUUUUGACAGCUGAACGAGACUACCUGGAUUUAACAGCGAGUAAUAACUUCUUUGUGGAUGAUUAUGCUAGAUUUACUAUCUUGGAUUCCCAAGGCAAGACUGCUGCUGUAGCCAAUAGUAUGAACUAUUUGACAAAGAAAGAUGAUUCUUUUAUUAGGCCAGUAACUUUUUGGAUUGUUGGGGAUUUUGAUAGCCCUUCUGGACGGCAGUUACUGUAUGAUGCCAUCAAACAUCAGAAAUCCAGUAACAAUGUUAGAAUAAGCAUGAUCAAUAAUCCUGCCAAAGAGAUAAGCUAUGAGAACACUCAGAUCUCCAGAGCAAUCUGGGCAGCUCUCCAAACUCAGACUUCCAACGCUGCUAAGAACUUCAUCACCAAAAUGGCCAAGGAGGGGGCUGCAGAGGCCCUGGCUGCAGGAGCUGACAUUGCGGAGUUCUCUGUUGGGGGAAUGGAUUUCAGUCUUUUUAAAGAGGUCUUUGAGUCUUCCAAAAUGGAUUUCAUUUUGUCUCAUGCCGUGUACUGCAGGGAUGUUCUG
RNAcentral lists this small RNA (928 nucleotides) under Pongo abelii (Sumatran orangutan). RNAcentral's name for it is "retained intron". The record is from RNAcentral. Lineage: Eukaryota; Metazoa; Chordata; Mammalia; Primates; Hominidae.